This 548-nucleotide small RNA is filed under the name Pongo abelii (Sumatran orangutan). RNAcentral describes it as "processed transcript". Lineage: Eukaryota; Metazoa; Chordata; Mammalia; Primates; Hominidae. The record is from RNAcentral.
AAUAAUGCAUGAACCCUGUCCUGAGGAGCUCACGGCUCAGUGUAGGAGGCAGACGUGUGCACUGAAUUGAACUGAAUUCCAACUGUACAUCCUGUAUUAUUUCUACUGCAUGUUGACUAACCACAAAAAAUUGUAUGGCGACUUCUUGAGCUGGAAGCUAGAGGAAACCCUUGCCCAGUUCCCUUUGCAGCCUGGGAAGGUGGCCACGUUCACAAUCAACAUCAAAGUGAAGCUGGAUUUCUCCUGCCAGGAGAAUCUGCUGCAGGAUCUCAGUGAUGAUGGAAUCAGUGUGAGUGGCUUUCCCCUGUCCAGUCCUUUUCGGCAGGUCGUUCGGCCCCGAGUGGAGGGCAAACCUGUGAACCCACCCGAGAGCAACAAAGCAGGCGACUACAGCCACGUGAAGCUUUUCUGAAUUUUACCUGUGGACAGAGUCCCAACACCUCUGUAUCCUGCACUCAAGGCCUUUGAUGCCUUCCCCGUGGACCAUCAGUUUGUCGGUUCUUUGUCUCAUUGCUCCCUCGCGACCCCCGUCUGCCCUUGGAGGCCAG